This 400-nucleotide ribosomal RNA is filed under the name uncultured bacterium. Its description in RNAcentral is "bacterial SSU rRNA". It matches the Rfam family "Bacterial small subunit ribosomal RNA", at positions 355 to 770 of the family's 1533-position model. The record is from RNAcentral.
UGGGGAAUAUUGGGCAAUGGGGGAAACCCUGACCCAGCAACGCCGCGUGAAGGAUGAAGGCUUUCGGGUUGUAAACUUCUUUGAUCAGGGACGAACAAAUGACGGUACCUGAGGAACAAGCCACGGCUAACUACGUGCCAGCAGCCGCGGUAAUACGUAGGUGGCAAGCGUUAUCCGGAUUUACUGGGUGUAAAGGGCGUGUAGGCGGGUCUGCAAGUCGGAUGUGAAAUUCCCGGGCUUAACUCGGGCAGGUCAUCCGAAACUGCGGAUCUUGAGUACUGGAGAGGAUAGUGGAAUUCCUAGUGUAGCGGUAAAAUGCGUAGAUAUUAGGAGGAACACCAGUGGCGAAGGCGGCUAUCUGGACAGUAACUGACGCUGAGGCGCGAAAGCGUGGGGAGCA